UCAAGAAAAGAAUAGCAUAAAGAAAAAAUUUGAGUGAAACCGAAGCGUAGCUAGACUUCCUUAUUUGUAUCUCCUCAUCUCAGCUGUAAGCAAGUGGCGUUUUCUGCAUUCGUCUAUUCGCGAGCGCUAGAAUACGAUAUUUUCUGAGGGCGUAUCUGCACUUACUCAUUAGCUACAACUCUUCGUCUACGAAACCAAGCAGAAUCGAAUUACGCAAGGGGCACUUGAAACUCUUUCAUCACCCGCACGUCUCCCAAACAGCGAUUUCCAACCAAUGAAGUCCAGUGAAAUAUGAAGAACGAAGAAUUCUCUGUUGCAGUGCUGCUAAUUGAGUGUCUGGUUCGGCAUUAAACCGUCAAAAGACGUGGUCAAAACAGUUAGUUCUGAAAACAACAUCCAGUGUAUUGAGGAAUUAUGGAGAAACAUCAACUUGACACUUGAUGGCGGCUCGAUUCUGAAGAGGUUUGUAGAGUUGAAAGAGAAAUUACUAGAGUUAUCUUCAUCUCGAACUGUAGAUGCUCAUGUUGGAAACUGAAGACUUUCAAGAUGCCUUUCAUGAACAGAAAGAAGAAAGAAAAAGGUAGGAAGUUUUAUUUUUUCUAUCAGUCUAAAUGUCUUAAAUGAUUGACCCGAUUUUAGAUGACCCUGUUUCCUUACGUGUUAACAUUGUUAAUGUGAACAAAGUUGUUGUACAAAAAAAAAAAAAAAAAAGGUGGCUAUAAUUUUCAUUUCGAUAUAUAUAUUUUCUAAACAGGUACUUCCAAUUACAAAGUUUCUUGAAAUACGAUAGAAGUCAAUAAAAAAAUAGCUUUUACAAUAGGGAUAGGAUGAAUCUGUAAAUACAAAACUAACAUUUUAUAUGGCUUCGAUAGAGUAAAACGUCCAUAAAGAUUUUUAUAGCAUAAAUUAAAUACGUAUUCCAGAACGAAUUUAUUGACUUAGAUCAAUGCUGCGAAGCAGUUUCAAUCAGAUUUUCAGGAAAUUUAUGGAAUCUGCUAAAGAAAGAAGGGCUUGAGCGAAUAUUUAUGCAGGAUAAUGUGGUAUUUGUUAUUUACUUUGACAUCUGACCUCAUCAAUCUAUUAACUAUCAACAUCCCUACGAAUUUGUACUUGUUGUUAAAGGUAGAUUAUUAACAUAUUAAUGUAUUGUAUUCAUUUUAAUACAUGUUUCUUUCACUACAGGUUGGAUACAAAAAUUAAG
Molecule: long non-coding RNA, 1201 nt
Organism: Stegodyphus dumicola
Lineage: Eukaryota; Metazoa; Arthropoda; Arachnida; Araneae; Eresidae
Gene: Pka-C1
Source: RefSeq, a predicted model, not a curated record